Molecule: long non-coding RNA, 835 nt
Filed under: Betta splendens (Siamese fighting fish)
Lineage: Eukaryota; Metazoa; Chordata; Actinopteri; Anabantiformes; Osphronemidae
Description: lncRNA (ENSBSLG00000018871.1)
Source: RNAcentral
AAUUUUUGCGUUUGACUCCGGAACAAAAACAAAAGUUGGCGUUCGCUCCCGCUUUCGAGGUAGCGACGUCCCGUUACCAUAGCAAUGGACAGAAUCAAUUGGGAGAACACGCUUGUCAAUCUGCAGGCAUUUGCUCGCGGAUACUUGGUAAGAAACGAAGUUCGUCGUGCCAGAAACGACUUCGAAGACAUUGUCCAAGAAAUUGAUGGAGGCUUGUCCCAUUUACAGUGGAGAGACACGGUCAUAGCUAUUCCCCACUUCACAGACACUCACGGCCCAUUUCUAAGAGUCAGCAGCUCAACCAGCAGUCCUUCAGAACCAGGACUACACGUCAGCGUCACUCAGAACUCAUCAGGAGGAACAGACACGUGUUUACCACAAGAGAGGGAAGGCGAUCGGGGUGUCCUGCUACAGAGGAUAGAAGCUGAGAGAGAUGAGCCGCAGACCGGUGACCACGACUGUGACUCCAGGGCCGGGUGCUCCAACAACAGUGUUGAAGAUGCUCAGAGACAGAGGGGUUUGAGGGAACAGCAGGACGAUAAUGACGGCGGGGCGAUGGAGAGCGUAGCAGACUCCACCUCAGUGUGGAGCAGUUUGAACCUGGACAUGAACUGCAGCCACUCUCAAAAAGGCUCACAGCAGUUCUGCUUAGCUCAGGAGGUGCCGCGGACGUCAGAGGCGCUCCGUGCACACAGAAAAUGCCUGACUAUGGAGCUGGUGUGGCUCCAACAGGCCAUCGACAGCAGGAAAAAGUACUUGUCACUGAGGGACAGGCUAAGCAUCACCUGACAGCGGACGUAAUAAAGUGCACAUUUGUUGAGAAAAGUUCUUGUGU